Non-coding RNA from Manis javanica (Malayan pangolin), 1108 nucleotides. The record is from RefSeq and is a predicted model, not a curated record. Lineage: Eukaryota; Metazoa; Chordata; Mammalia; Pholidota; Manidae.
AGAUGUUGGGAAGAAAUGUGCUCUCAAGCACCAGAGGAUGAAUUGUAAUAUGUCUAAGCCAAUCUCAUUUCCCUGUCCAGUGAUUGGUUUGGGGGGACAUCCUGAAUCAUGUUUAGCUGAUGAGAUGGAGAGGAUGAGAAGUCAAGCAAUGUUGCAGCCACCUUGUAUGAGGGCACAAGCUGAGGACACAGUCAGUUCACCGAGGCAGAGAAAGCAGAAACGGGAGACCACCAUGUCCUUGCUGUUGUGGAGUCUUCUCCAGUGACCAGGAUGAGGGAACUUUGGUCCAGGGCUCCUAAAGAAGAGCCUGAGGCCAACCUGGAGAUCUAAUGCUUUAGUGGGAGGUGCAGCCCCAGGACAUCAAGAGCGAGAAAGAGGUAAGUGAGGUGUGGGAGACUGAGCAGCAAUCACCGAGCUGGUGGCUGCCUCACAGAGACGCGGCCAGUCACCUUAUCCCGUGGACUCUCUCCAGGCCAGCUGUGCAGAGAUCUGCUCCUCAAGGGAGUCCAGAAGAAGGCAAGGAGAGGCCAGUCACUGCCGGUCUCUCUUCUCCCCUGUCCCUGGGUGGUCAGAGUUCCGUCUCCAGGGCCGUACUGUGCCCAUCACCGCGGCUUCCUUUGCCUGGCUCCUCCCACAGUGGUUGAGGAAGCCAGAUCCCGCACUUGUUAUGGCCCCUUAUCUGAGUCCAGAAUUGGUGGAAGGAUCAAGAAACUUGGGGUGCUGGUCUCAGACAAUGUGUGGUGUAAGCCCUGAAAUGAAGGCGCCCUAUUAAGUACUGCCUGGACACCUUGGAGCUUCAUGGGGCCUCAGAGGCCUAACCAUGAGUCCCCUGCGCUAUCAGAUAUGCCCUCCACCCAGUGGGAAAUCUUUCCACCUGGCUGUUCCCCUAUCAGAGGCUAUUUCCUCUACCUGAUCUUCAACCUGACCGUUUUCACUUUCCCACAAGCCUGUGGAAUUAUCCAAACAAGACAGUCACAUCAUCCCCUGGGACCUAGGGGCCACCUCAUCCUUUCGUUACUACCAAGCCUGCCUACCACUCCCCCUGAUGGCUCAUUCUGUUCCCUAGUGCAGCCCCCAUGUGUAUCUGCAUGAGGUGAAGUGUCUGACA